Molecule: long non-coding RNA, 306 nt
Filed under: Mytilus galloprovincialis (Mediterranean mussel)
Lineage: Eukaryota; Metazoa; Mollusca; Bivalvia; Mytilida; Mytilidae
Source: RNAcentral
AAUUAGCACAUUUAUAACCCUACUGAGUUCUUAAGGGAAUAAAAGAUACCGGCUCAGUUUGUCAAGAACAUGUUAACACGCUCGUUGGUCAUUUAUCUGCGCUACCACCAUGGGGUUAAUUAACAGAUACUUAUUUAUUUGCGGCAUCACACGGUAUUAACAUUUGAGGUCAAUUUCCUAUCACUAUAAUUGGUCAAUUUUAUUAGCGAAUCGUUGAAUUUGUAAAACUCGUCCAAUUAAUGCCAAUGUGACAAUGGCACCAACCCGUUCCUUCGGUGCAAAGCUAUAGAUGGAACGGCGGACCAG